This 468-nucleotide ribosomal RNA is filed under the name uncultured bacterium. Its description in RNAcentral is "partial 16S ribosomal RNA". It matches the Rfam family "Bacterial small subunit ribosomal RNA", at positions 28 to 507 of the family's 1533-position model. The record is from RNAcentral.
GACGAACGCUGGCGGCGUGCUUAACACAUGCAAGUCGAACGGAAAGGCCCUGCUUUUGUGGGGUGCUCGAGUGGCGAACGGGUGAGUAACACGUGAGUAACCUGCCCUUGACUUUGGGAUAACUUCAGGAAACUGGGGCUAAUACCGGAUAGGAGCUCCUGCUGCAUGGUGGGGGUUGGAAAGUUUCGGCGGUUGGGGAUGGACUCGCGGCUUAUCAGCUUGUUGGUGGGGUAGUGGCUUACCAAGGCUUUGACGGGUAGCCGGCCUGAGAGGGUGACCGGCGACAUUGGGACUGAGAUACGGCCCAGAGUCCUACGGGAGGCAGCAGUGGGGAAUAUUGCACAAUGGGCGGAAGCCUGAUGCAGCAACGCCGCGUGCGGGAUGACGGCCUUCGGGUUUUAAACCGCUUUCGCCUGUGACGAAGCGUGAGUGACGGUAAUGGGUAAAGAAGCACCGGCUAACUACGUG